Molecule: ribosomal RNA, 589 nt
Filed under: Saccharomyces cerevisiae (brewer's yeast)
Lineage: Eukaryota; Fungi; Ascomycota; Saccharomycetes; Saccharomycetales; Saccharomycetaceae
Description: eukaryotic LSU rRNA
Rfam family: Eukaryotic large subunit ribosomal RNA
Source: RNAcentral
UUGCAUAUCAAAAAGCGGAGGAAAAGAAACCAACCGGGAUUGCCUUAGUAACGGCGAGUGAAGCGGCAAAAGCUCAAAUUUGAAAUCUGGUACCUUCGGUGCCCGAGUUGUAAUUUGGAGAGGGCAACUUUGGGGCCGUUCCUUGUCUAUGUUCCUUGGAACAGGACGUCAUAGAGGGUGAGAAUCCCGUGUGGCGAGGAGUGCGGUUCUUUGUAAAGUGCCUUCGAAGAGUCGAGUUGUUUGGGAAUGCAGCUCUAAGUGGGUGGUAAAUUCCAUCUAAAGCUAAAUAUUGGCGAGAGACCGAUAGCGAACAAGUACAGUGAUGGAAAGAUGAAAAGAACUUUGAAAAGAGAGUGAAAAAGUACGUGAAAUUGUUGAAAGGGAAGGGCAUUUGAUCAGACAUGGUGUUUUGUGCCCUCUGCUCCUUGUGGGUAGGGGAAUCUCGCAUUUCACUGGGCCAGCAUCAGUUUUGGUGGCAGGAUAAAUCCAUAGGAAUGUAGCUUGCCUCGGUAAGUAUUAUAGCCUGUGGGAAUACUGCCAGCUGGGACUGAGGACUGCGACGUAAGUCAAGGAUGCUGCAAAGACUUUA